This 782-nucleotide ribosomal RNA is filed under the name uncultured bacterium. RNAcentral's name for it is "bacterial SSU rRNA". It matches the Rfam family "Bacterial small subunit ribosomal RNA", at positions 8 to 796 of the family's 1533-position model. The record is from RNAcentral.
AGAGUUUGAUCAUGGCUCAGAGUCAACGCUGGCGGCGUGCCUAACACAUGCAAGUCGAGCGAGAAAAGGGGGGCAACUCUCUGAGUACAGCGGCGCACGGGUGAGUAACACGUGGGUAAUCUGCCCUGAAGUGGGGAAUAACACCGGGAAACCGGUGCUAAUACCGCAUACGAUCACAGAGUCUGCGGAUUCUGUGAUGAAAGGAGCAAUUCGCUUCAGGAGGAGCCCGCGGCUGAUUAGCUUGUUGGUGAGGUAAUGGCUCACCAAGGCUACGAUCAGUAUCCGGUCUGAGAGGACGGCCGGACACACUGGAACUGAGACACGGUCCAGACUCCUACGGGAGGCAGCAGUGGGGAAUUUUUGGCAAUGGGGGCAACCCUGACCAAGCAACGCCGCGUGGGUGAUGAAGUCUCUUGGGACGUAAAACCCUUUCGACGGGGAAGAAACCGCAAGGUUGACGGUACCCGUAGAAGAAGCCCCGGCUAACUCCGUGCCAGCAGCCGCGGUAAUACGGGGGGGGCAAGCGUUGUUCGGAAUUACUGGGCGUAAAGGGUGCGUAGGCGGUGCUCUAAGUCGGAUGUGAAAACUCUGGGCUCAACCCAGAGCCUGCAUCCGAAACUGGAGUGCUAGAGUUCUGGAGGGGGUAGCGGAAUUCCUGGUGUAGCGGUGAAAUGCGUAGAUAUCAGGAGGAACACCGGUGGCGAAGGCGGCUACCUGGACAGAAACUGACGCUGAGGCACGAAAGCUAGGGGAGCAAACAGGAUUAGAUACCCUAGUAGUCC